Molecule: ribosomal RNA, 464 nt
Filed under: uncultured bacterium
Lineage: Bacteria
Description: partial 16S ribosomal RNA
Rfam family: Bacterial small subunit ribosomal RNA
Source: RNAcentral
CUACGGGGGGCACCAGUGGGGAAUAUUGGACAAUGGGCGCAAGCCUGAUCCAGCAAUGCCGCGUGUGUGAAGAAGGCCUGCGGGUUGUAAAGCACUUUCAAUUGGGAGGAAAAGCGGUCGGUUAAUACCCGGCCGACUUGACGUUACCUUUAGAAGAAGCACCGGCUAACUCCGUGCCAGCAGCCGCGGUAAUACGGAGAGUGCAAGCGUUAAUCGGAAUUACUGGGCGUAAAGCGCGCGUAGGUGGCUAGAUAAGUCGGAUGUGAAAGCCCUGGGCUCAACCUGGGAAUGGCAUUCGAUACUGUCUGGCUAGAGUCUGGUAGAGGGAAGUGGAAUUCCAGGUGUAGCGGUGAUAUGCGUAGAUAUCUGGAGGAACACCAGUGGCGAAGGCGACUUCCUGGACCAAGACUGACACUGAGGUGCGAAAGCGUGGGUAGCAAACAGGAUUAGAUACCCCGGUAGUC